ACGGGAGGCAGCAGUGGGGAAUAUUGCACAAUGGGCGCAAGCCUGAUGCAGCCAUGCCGCGUGUAUGAAGAAGGCCUUCGGGUUGUAAAGCACUUUCAGUAGUGAGGAAGGUGGUGUAGUUAAUACCGGCAUCAUUUGACGUUACCAACAGAAGAAGCACCGGCUAACUCCGUGCCAGCAGCCGCGGUAAUACGGAGGGUGCGAGCGUUAAUCGGAAUUACUGGGCGUAAAGCGCAUGCAGGUGGUUUGUUACCUCACCUGUGAAAGCCCGGGGCUCAACCUCGGAAUUGCAUUUGAAACUGGCAGACUAGAGUACUGUAGAGGGGGGUAGAAUUUCAGGUGUAGCGGUGAAAUGCGUAGAGAUCUGAAGGAAUACCGGUGGCGAAGGCGGCCCCCUGGACAGAUACUGACACUCAGAUGCGAAAGCGUGGGGAGCAAACAGGAUUAGAUACCCUGGUAGUCCACGCCGUAAACGAUGUCUACUUGGAGGUUGUGGCCUAGAGCCGUGGCUUUCGGAGCUAACGCGUUAAGUAGACCGCCUGGGGAGUACGGUCGCAAGAUUAAAACUCAAAUGAAUUGACGGGGGCCCGCACAAGCGGUGGAGCAUGUGGUUUAAUUCGAUGCAACGCGAAGAACCUUACCUACUCUUGACAUCCAGAGAAUCCAGCGGAGACGCUGGAGUGCCUUCGGGAACUCU
RNAcentral lists this ribosomal RNA (697 nucleotides) under Vibrio cidicii. RNAcentral describes it as "bacterial SSU rRNA". It matches the Rfam family "Bacterial small subunit ribosomal RNA", at positions 341 to 1030 of the family's 1533-position model. Lineage: Bacteria; Pseudomonadati; Pseudomonadota; Gammaproteobacteria; Vibrionales; Vibrionaceae. The record is from RNAcentral.